GAGCACUUCCUAUGUUGAGUUUAUACCAAUGUCUAGCUUUUUCUGUUAAAGAGAACGAAAAGAGCUUCCAUUUAAGGGUCUCAUCGGACAUGCCUUCAAUGUGAAGGAGGUCACAGACUCGAUAAAACUCUCUUAGGUGUGUGUAUGGGUUUUCCUCACCUUCUCCUGAGAAAGGUUGUUUUUGAAGAAAUUCUAUGUAUUCUAGGCUUAUCUCAAAACUAGAUGUCAUGAUAGGGUUUGAAGAUUUUGGUGGUUUGAGAUUUGUGCUCGUAGGUCUAUUAAACUGAUAGAUAGACAUGUUUGAAUUCACGAUAGACCAGAGAUCAAGGACUAGAUAAGAAGAAAGAAUAGCAGAGAUAAGGCAAAGGAUAAAAGGAAAAAUAUUUUUUUUAUUUUUUUAGAAAAUGAUUAAGCUAGUUCGUAGUCAACUCAGCAACCGUCUCCCCGGCAAUGGCACCAAAAAGCUUGUGACACUUGCUAACACCACUUGAAUACUAGGUUGUCAUCCCCAGCAUGGCACUAGAGUGUACUAUGGUAUUUAUACGCACACAGAUAAAUCCGCAAGCGCACGGAUACCGUUGUAGCUUUUACCCAGUUAAAGGUUUUAUCGUAUCCAUAGGGAAACGGGAGAACUGAUCUACGCUCUAACUUAACCUAGAUAGAUAGGUAGGUGUAAAUAGGAAAGAUGGUAGAAUUGAAUAAGAACAAUAUUAAAGGUAAGAUAACAAUGGGUGAUAAUAUGGGAAUAGAGAGUAGAGGAAUCUAGUAUAUGGGCGAUAAUAGGAGAAUAAAGAGGAUAACUAUGGUUUCUCUACUUCAAAGGGGUAUGUCUAUGUCUGGGACGAACCACGUGAUAAGAUUACACCAUAAAGGAUGCUUAUCCAUAGGCCGAUAAACCCUACCAGUCCUGCUAACGGGAGGUGGACUACAGAGGACCAACGUAGCUGUCACCUACGCGACCUACCACAUGAUGUGGCUAGAUAGGGGAUAUCCAUAAGUAAUCUAGGUCUAAGCACCACGCUUACACCUAUACUACAACCCUCACCUAUAGCGUCCUAUAGAUUAAAGUACUCAAAAGAGUUUUGAACCAGAACAUACA
Molecule: long non-coding RNA, 1099 nt
Filed under: Sorghum bicolor (sorghum)
Lineage: Eukaryota; Viridiplantae; Streptophyta; Magnoliopsida; Poales; Poaceae
Description: long non-coding RNA (SBIC_LNC004944)
Source: RNAcentral